Non-coding RNA from Variovorax sp. WDL1, 234 nucleotides. The record is from Rfam. Lineage: Bacteria; Pseudomonadati; Pseudomonadota; Betaproteobacteria; Burkholderiales; Comamonadaceae.
AGAGUCAUACGUUAGCCAGCUACGGCGGCCCCGAGUCAUGCGUCAUCACCCGCGAGGGUGAGGGCGAAGCGUUGACAGGGGUACGCGCAGGCCGGGUAUCGAGCCGCGUAAUCCAUGCCCCGCGACUUCGGUCGCGGGAAGUCCGGGGUGCCGAGGAUGUGGAGACAUUCCGAAGACCACACCGGAGCUGCCGCAAUGGCUUGGCAGCUUCGGACCCCGCGCGGUCACAGACCC